RNAcentral lists this transfer RNA (68 nucleotides) under Coarctotermes sp. E MLW-2023a. Its description in RNAcentral is "tRNA-Ala". The record is from RNAcentral. Lineage: Eukaryota; Metazoa; Arthropoda; Insecta; Blattodea; Termitidae. RNAcentral also lists the same sequence under 1 other name.
GGGGCUAUAGUUAACAAUAACGUUUGAGUUGCAUUCAAAAAGUACUACACCCAUAGUAGUUAGUCUCA